GCUUAACACAUGCAAGUCGAACGGAAAGGCUCUUGCUUGCAAGGGUGCUCGAGUGGCGAACGGGUGAGUAACACGUAAGUGAUCUGCCCUGCACUGGGGGAUAAGCUUGGGAAACUGGGUCUAAUACCCUAUAGGACCGCAUCGUGGUUGGUGUGGUGGAAAGGUUUUUCUGGUGUGGGAUGAGCUUGCGGCCUAUCAGCUUGUUGGUGGGGUAAUGGCCUACCAAGGCGGCGACGGGUAGCCGGCCUGAGAGGGUGUGCGGCCACAUUGGGACUGAGAUACGGCCCAGACUCCUACGGGAGGCAGCAGUGGGGAAUUUUGCACAAUGGGCGGAAGCCUGAUGCAGCGACGUCGUGUGGGGGAUGAAGGCCUUCGGGUUGUAAACUCCUUUCGUCAGGGACGAAGUUUUUUUGACGGUACCUGGAUAAGAAGCACCGGCUAACUACGUGCCAGCAGCCGCGGUAAUACGUAGGGUGCGAGCGUUGUCCGGAUUUACUGGGCGUAAAGGGCUCGUAGGUGGUGUGUCGCGUCGUCUGUGUAAUCCAGGGGCUUAACUUUUGGUUGGCAGGCGAUACGGGCAUUGCUUGAGUGCUGUAGGGGAGACUGGAAUUCCUGGUGUAGCGGUGAAAUGCGCAGAUAUCAGGAGGAACACCGAUGGCGAAGGCAGGUCUCUGGGCAGUUACUGACGCUGAGGAGCGAGAGCAUGGGUAGCGAACAGGAUU
RNAcentral lists this ribosomal RNA (722 nucleotides) under Corynebacterium glucuronolyticum. RNAcentral's name for it is "bacterial SSU rRNA". It matches the Rfam family "Bacterial small subunit ribosomal RNA", at positions 46 to 779 of the family's 1533-position model. Lineage: Bacteria; Bacillati; Actinomycetota; Actinomycetes; Mycobacteriales; Corynebacteriaceae. The record is from RNAcentral.